UGGGUUGUAGUUUAGUGGCAGAGCACUCAUCUGGAAUGUGUGAGUCACUGGGUUCAAUACUCAGCACCACAU
RNAcentral lists this transfer RNA (72 nucleotides) under Ictidomys tridecemlineatus (thirteen-lined ground squirrel). RNAcentral's name for it is "Spermophilus tridecemlineatus (thirteen-lined ground squirrel) tRNA". It matches the Rfam family "tRNA". From Rfam's summary of the family: Transfer RNA (tRNA) molecules are approximately 80 nucleotides in length. Their secondary structure includes four short double-helical elements and three loops (D, anti-codon, and T loops). Lineage: Eukaryota; Metazoa; Chordata; Mammalia; Rodentia; Sciuridae. The record is from Rfam by way of RNAcentral.